This 406-nucleotide ribosomal RNA is filed under the name uncultured bacterium. RNAcentral's name for it is "partial 16S ribosomal RNA". It matches the Rfam family "Bacterial small subunit ribosomal RNA", at positions 30 to 526 of the family's 1533-position model. The record is from RNAcentral.
AUUGAACGCUGGCGGCAGGCCUAACACAUUCAAGUCGAGCGAGCGGCGGACGGGUGAGUAAUCUCUGGGAAACUGCCUGAUGGAGGUGGAUAACUACUGGAAACGGUAGCUAAUACCGCAUACCAUCAGAUGUGCCCAGAUGGGAUUAGCUAGUAGGUGUGGUGACGGCUCACCUAGGCGACGAUCCCUAGCUGGUCUGAGAGUAUGACCAGCCACACUGGAACUGCAACACGGGCCAGACUCCUACGGGAGGCAGCAGUGGGGAAUAUUGCACAAUGGGCGCAAGCCUGAUGCAGAAACGCAGCGUGUGUGAAGAAGGGCUUCGGGUUGUAAAGCACUUUCAGCGGGGAGGCGUUACCCGCAGAAGAAGCAACGGCUAACUACGUGCCAGCAGCCGCGGUAAUAC